This 330-nucleotide ribosomal RNA is filed under the name Triticum aestivum (bread wheat). Its description in RNAcentral is "partial small subunit ribosomal RNA". The record is from RNAcentral. Lineage: Eukaryota; Viridiplantae; Streptophyta; Magnoliopsida; Poales; Poaceae.
AUGCAUGUAGGAGAUCGUCUGCGGCUGCUCGGUGAGUUCUUGAUUUCUUAUAGUUUCAUUGUUUCGGCAUUGAUAAAGUGUUCUGACCAUGCGUUUUCUUUCAACAAAUUCAAGGGCAAGCCAGAGACGGAGAAUAGCAGGUCGUGCAGAUGCGAUUGUCAGGCCUUGAUUAGGUUGCUGCAUGCUGCGGACAACAGCUGGUAUAUUACAGAGCAUCGUGAGAGCCAUAACCACUCCAUGUCGUGGACGAUGGGUGAAAAGGUGCACUGGCCAUCACACACGCACAUAGAUGUGUACACUGGAUCUGAUAAAGCAGUUAAGGGAGAAUAA